This 59-nucleotide microRNA precursor is filed under the name Cordylochernes scorpioides. Lineage: Eukaryota; Metazoa; Arthropoda; Arachnida; Pseudoscorpiones; Chernetidae. The record is from RNAcentral.
AUUAUCAUUGAUGACGGUCUUCUGAAACAUAAAUGAAGAUGGUGAAUUUCUGAUAAUUU